GAGGUCUAGUAUAAGGGUUGUGGGAUAGGGGCCCCUAGAGUUCUUCAUACUCCUCACCCGGGGUUGGGUGAGGCUUGGGAGGGCUAUUCAUAGAUGAUUUAUGUAUUGGAUUUUGUCUUAUGCUAGUUACUGUCUGAUAUUAUUGCAUGCUAUUUUAUUUAUCGUUUUUUUAUUUUAUUUUAGGUUUUUAUGUUUAGAUAAUUAUUUACGCUAUUUAUGUUGAAGUUACUAAUGCUCUUUUGUUAUUUUUGUUUUUGUUGUUCCUUUACUUCACUGAGCCGAGGGUCGAUUGGAAACAGCCUCUCUGCCCUUUCGGAUAGGGGUAAGGUCCGUCUACAUAUUAGCCUCCCUAGACCCCACUUUGUGGGAAUAUACUGAGUAGUUGUUGUUGUUGUUUUCUUUUGUAGAACAAAUUAUAGAAUAUGUGCUUUACACUUUGUUAAUUAUAGCUUUUCGUACAUUGUAGGAACUCGAAG
Molecule: long non-coding RNA, 476 nt
Filed under: Nicotiana benthamiana
Lineage: Eukaryota; Viridiplantae; Streptophyta; Magnoliopsida; Solanales; Solanaceae
Description: long non-coding RNA (NBEN_LNC012403)
Source: RNAcentral